RNAcentral lists this ribosomal RNA (253 nucleotides) under uncultured bacterium. RNAcentral describes it as "partial 16S ribosomal RNA". It matches the Rfam family "Bacterial small subunit ribosomal RNA", at positions 524 to 776 of the family's 1533-position model. The record is from RNAcentral.
UACGUAGGGUGCGAGCGUUAAUCGGAGUUACUGGGCGUAAAGGGCGCGUAGGCGGUUAUGUAAGUGAGAUGUGAAAGCCCUGGGCUUAACCUAGGAACUGCAUCUUAUACUGCAUAACUGGAGUACUGUAGAGGGUAGUGGAAUUUCCGGUGUAGCGGUGAAAUGCGUAGAGAUCGGAAGGAACACCAGUGGCGAAGGCGGCUACCUGGACAGAUACUGACGCUGAGGCGCGAGAGCGUGGGGAGCAAACAGG